GAUUGGUUUUGAAGUUUUAUACUAAAAUUGGAAGGACACAGAGAAGAUUAGCAUGGCUCCUGCACAGGGUGACACGCAAAUUCGUGAAGUUUAUGUAAAUGAA
Small nuclear RNA from Mustela erminea (ermine), 103 nucleotides. Lineage: Eukaryota; Metazoa; Chordata; Mammalia; Carnivora; Mustelidae. The record is from RefSeq and is a predicted model, not a curated record.